Long non-coding RNA from Mustela lutreola (European mink), 1102 nucleotides. RefSeq lists it as uncharacterized. The transcript is spliced from 2 exons. The record is from RefSeq and is a predicted model, not a curated record. NCBI's taxonomy places the organism in Eukaryota, Metazoa, Chordata, Mammalia, Carnivora, Mustelidae.
UAAAGGGUGUUUUUGUUCUUCCAACCUUGGGAUCAAAACUUCAUGAAACUAUUUGAUUAUAAUGUAGUAUGAGUAUGGAAAAUGAAAAUUCCCCCUGCCACAGAAACUGCCUUUUAUCUCAUUCUUUUCCUGAAAAAUCCAAAAGCUAGGGUGCUGUCAGUAAUACGAAGUGGCAGGAAGAAGUCAGCGUUAAAAGUGACACCUUUUCACGUGAGUGACAAUUAAAAAAACUGGGAAGCAGCAGAUUGAUCUAAUUUAACCGUAUGAAAAAGCUUUGGAAGAUUUUUAUUUUUAGGAGGGAGUGGUUGCAAACCUGGGAUGAAGUAUUCAGCUGACAUAUUGAGUUCCUUUCUCUUUGUGAAACUCAUUAGAAUGAAGCACAUUUAAUCAAAAUACCAAUUUUAUAAAAUGGAGGUAAAAAUACUCGUGGUAAUUCAAGAGAUCACACCUUCCUUGGGGCUCCGUAACCAAUGUUGACGACGUAGUUUGCAGACCAGGGAGCUGGAGUGGAAUCAUCUUCCUUCAUCUUGGAGAGCUGUUGUUCAGAACUUGGCUUUAAUUAAUUAAUUAAUUUAUUAAUUUAUUUUUGAGCUUGGCAUUUUUUAAGUCGGGUUCCCUCUGCUCCUCCAGCUCGCCUAUGUUUUCCUGUCGUGCGGUUUCCUGUUGGUGAGGUCUGUGUGGGUGAGGGGGCCUCUUUGCUUGGCCUCCUCUUCCGUCCUCAUCAAUCCAGAAGCCCGGAUGGCUUUGCCUGCUGUUUCCCAGAUGCCCAUCAUGGGAGGACCACAGGUUCCGAUGUCCCAAGACGGGUGGCAGCCUCAUUCUUCAUGCAUCAGGCAGAAAUGGAGACGUGGGGCUCCUUCCAGGGUUGGUUCCUGUUUCUGCAGGAAAACUCGAAAAACGAGCCAGCUGAAAUUGAACGCCCUCCGGUUUUGUUCGGCAGAUCCGUGAACUUGAUGACUUGCUGUUUCUUUGGCUGCAGAAUUCUAAUUUCACUUGCAGAUUCCUGCUGUCCCUCCCUGCUCGGCCUCCUAGCAGUGGUGGCCCUGACGGUGUGCCUAAGGAGGACCUUUUGUAUGAAAUAACGAAUAAAAUCAAUGGAAAA